This 89-nucleotide microRNA precursor is filed under the name Bombyx mori (domestic silkworm). Its description in RNAcentral is "mir-2807 microRNA precursor family". It matches the Rfam family "mir-2807 microRNA precursor family". The record is from Rfam by way of RNAcentral. Lineage: Eukaryota; Metazoa; Arthropoda; Insecta; Lepidoptera; Bombycidae.
UAAAAAUUUGUAUGGAGUUGGAACGUUUUACGCCUACGCCUACGUUUGCCGCUAGGGGCGUUGUUUCAACUGCAUACAAAUUUGAGUUA